AGAGGAGGAAUGGCUGGAGGGAUGGAUGGCUGGAGGGUGGGUGGAUGGGAGGAUGGAUGGAUGGAGGGAUGGAGGAGGGAUGGGUGGAGGGAGGGAUGGCUGGAGGGUGGAUGGAAGGACAGAUGCCAUGGAAGAGGUGGCAAGAACCUAGGUCCCCUCAGGUUGUGUUCAGUCAGGAGUCAGCAGUAUGUUUUGGCAAAGUGUUUUGCAUCCCCCAACCCUUGCUCCGCCGACAUUCCACAUCCUUCUCAGAAAAAGUUUCUCUGCCUCCUCCAGAGAUAGUUGCUCUUGCCCCGCCCUUCCCAGGAAUCAGCACACCCAGGCCUUCAGCCUCCUGAGGACUGUGUGGUGGGAAAUGAGCAAAACAGAAAACCACAGCGCCAAGCUGGGAAGAGACAGCCAGUGCCUGUGGAGACACUUGUCCCUCUGCAGUGCCUCCGAAAGGGCACAGGAAAUUGGCAGGUUGGAGGACAAGCCGUCAGCCCUCCAGGGAACUGAGUCACACAUCAAGGGGGUCACCGGCCCCCUCUGAACUGCAGUCUCGUCCUCUGUGCAGUGGAGGUGGGCAUACUUGAUCUUGGCAGGAGUUCUUUUUAGCACUAAAAUUCCAGCGCUCACACGCUCCCUGCACGGACAUGCUCCCCGUGUUGGCUAAAUGUGGGAGCUUCCGNGACAAAGAGUCUGGGCAGGGACGGGGGUGGGGUAGUAAAUUCUGAUAGCCUGGCAACUGGCCGGAGUGAAUUCAAACAACGACGAGAAAAGCUAAAUUGGGGGUGUUUACCGUAUGCUGGCGACACGGCGCACGUCAUCUGACGGCUCUGUUAGAAUCCGCUCAGCCCUUUGCUGCUCAGGUUCCAUGACUUGCCCUCUUUUAUAAAUGAGGACCGGAGGCACAGAGAGGUUUAGUCCUUUGCCCCACAGCACACAGCUUGUUAGGAGAGGAACAGGUUCCAAAUCUCUGCGCCCUUUGCGGCAACACUCUGGCUUCUCUGUCCGGUGUCCUUUAGACUCAGCACCGUAUCGUAGGCUGUGCCUGAUUUCUCUCUGGUUGUUGCCUUCACUAAAAGGGCCGUUUACUUUGUCCUCCUCCCAGAAGAGACAGCCAG
Molecule: long non-coding RNA, 1106 nt
Filed under: Sus scrofa (pig)
Lineage: Eukaryota; Metazoa; Chordata; Mammalia; Artiodactyla; Suidae
Description: lncRNA (ENSSSCG00015036076.1)
Source: RNAcentral